CCCUUAGAUGUUCUGGGCGGCCCGCGCACUACACUGGCACUCUCAAUCAGAGCCUGGAUCUAACACUUUGGGGUAUUCUAUGAAGUGGUGUCGUGACUGGGAUUAACCCUUGCAAUUAUUGGUUACGAGCGAGGAAUUCCUUGUAAUCGCGGUUUAUCAGCCCGCGUUGAAUGCGUCCCUGCCCUUUGUACACACCGCCCGUCGCUCCUACCGAUGGAUCGUCCGGUGAAGCUCAUGGAGGGGCGGUUGUCUCAGCUGCCGUCGAAGUGAAAUGGACCUCACGAUCUAGAGGAAGGAGAAGUCGUAACA
Molecule: ribosomal RNA, 309 nt
Filed under: uncultured eukaryote
Lineage: Eukaryota
Description: partial 18S ribosomal RNA
Rfam family: Eukaryotic small subunit ribosomal RNA
Source: RNAcentral